UUGAGCCGCGAACCCUGUAUUGGGGUAAAAACAAUGCCACUGCCUCAAAGGGUUCCCUUUAAGGAUGCGGAUGCGCAGCACCAGCACCGCGCUGCAUUAUGGGAAGAAACACAGUGGCCUGCCAAUCACUAAGGCAGCAUUCUCCGAGGGGGCGGCAUACCUGCCCUGGAAGGUGUUGCAGCCAUAUGGGGCUGGCUUGGCCUGGGUGGGCCACCAGAUUCAUGGCUACAUGGAAGGAGACAGCAAGGGCCGGCUGCUUCCCUGGGCAAGGGAGCCCUCCAUCCUGUGAAAGCCAGACCAAGCGACUGGCCUAGAUUGUCGGCCCAAACAGCAACACAUCUUGGUUCUGAGGAAUACUGCAGUCAAGUCUGGGGCUCUCUUGCCUUUGGAUCAAGAAAUCAAGAAUAAAAGAUGUCUUUUGAAGAGCACCAUUAAACUUGUUCCUUGCUGUUCAGUGAUGAAGUCAUGUCUGACUCUUUGAGACCCCAAGGACUGCAGCACAUCAGGCUCCUCUGUCCUUCAGUAUCUCCUGGAGUUUUCCCAAAUUUACGUCCAUUGCACAUUGGUAAAUCCACUGGAUAGUGUUCAUCCCUUGUAGGAAAUCAAUAUUUCAUACAAGAGGUCUCUCACUUCUCCUUGAGACUCUUUUCUUUUUUAACUUGGCUUUAAGUAUACUACACUUUGUCCUAAUUCUGUUGUUUGUUCUACUUCUGUUACUGCUGCUUCUCCAUCUCAGUGCUGAGUUUUCUCAUUUCCCCAACAUAUAAAAUCUUGGUUGCUGCAGAAUUCUGUCCUCAGAUAUAAUAUUCUAUAGGUACUUGAUCCAUUUGCCUAUUUCUUAUAGUCUGUGUUUUUCAAUAACAUUUACUCAUUGACAAAUAUCAAAUGUGUAAAUCCAAUCUCAAAUGUCCCUUAAAUUAUACUCAUAAAAAACUUCUUUAAAUAACACUUAAAUUUUUUAUAUCUCCUCCUACUCCUGGAACUUUAUGUCCACUGUUACAGUUUUAUCUUUCUCUAUGAAACUGAUCACUUUUACAUAUUAUAUGUUUAAUUAUGUAUUUU
Molecule: long non-coding RNA, 1062 nt
Organism: Bubalus bubalis (water buffalo)
Lineage: Eukaryota; Metazoa; Chordata; Mammalia; Artiodactyla; Bovidae
Exons: 3
Source: RefSeq, a predicted model, not a curated record